CAAAGGGGAGAGAGGGCCAGGAGGGAGAGGAUUAAGAAUUACCCAAGUUCCAUAAACAUGACCGGAGACAGCCCUUAGGACUGGAAUGUGACAAAAGGAAAGUGCCUGGAGAAAUGCUGUGUCUGCAGGAGGGAGAGGGGAACCAGCCAUAACCGGGCUCUGGGCUGUGAGUUUUACAUACAUUCACUACGCAUGAAAAACCCUGGGAGGACCGAGCAGAAGCCGGACUCUGAAGUCUGAAGUCACACGGCUAAUAGAUGGAGGAGCUGGGAUUUCAUUGUGCGGUUCCCAGGGCCCUUGCUGGCAGGAAGAGGCAUCCAGAUUGCAGAUGUACUUGUUCCUGUUCCUGGCAAGACCCACUUCCCACUGUGACUGACAAGUUUUGGACCCAGUGGCAACGUGGAGUAGAAGAAAGAGCAUGGAUUUUAGAGUGAGACUGGCUCCCCGACUCAUUAGCCUGCAAGUUCCUUAACCUUUCUAAGAUGCAUUUUCCUCCCUUAUUUGUAAAAUGGGGUUUACUAAGAUCUACCCUGAGAAGCUAUCGUAAGGAAUGCCUAAGCUAGUACUGGCACACAGCUGCAGCUCAAUGAAUGGUAGAGAUUUUCCAAACGCAUUGACAUCCUGAUUUGUCAAUCAGUCUUUUGUGAGUUCGUCUUGCAGCCAUGGAGUAGCAACAGAGUCAAGGUGAGAAUUCCAUCAGGUUCUUAGAUCUAGACUCUGAGAUGCUGACCUUUGGGAACGCCCUGAGAGAAGCCUGGGAGCUGGAUCCCUGGAGGGACAGGAGGUGGUCUGAGGCAGAUGGUGAACCCAGAGGAGUGUUGGAGGAGGAGAACUGAGGGCUAGGGUGCUUGUGAGUCCCCAGCUCUGAGGAGGCCCCAGGAGGCCAACCAAGCUGAAGGCAGGAGCCUGGGUACCCAGGAAUGGCAAGGAAGCCAGAGGCUGGGCCAGCCCCAUCUCCACCCACCACCUGCACAUCCACAGACCCUGGGGAGAUUUGUAAAAACGGAUCCUUGGCCCAUCCUUGAAAGUUCUGAUUGAGUGGAUCUGGGUUGAGGCCCAUGAAAUUGUGUUUUUAAAACAUUCUCUACCGCAGAACAGUAUGUAUA
RNAcentral lists this long non-coding RNA (1106 nucleotides) under Equus asinus (donkey). RNAcentral describes it as "lncRNA (ENSEASG00005030230.1)". Lineage: Eukaryota; Metazoa; Chordata; Mammalia; Perissodactyla; Equidae. The record is from RNAcentral.